This 465-nucleotide ribosomal RNA is filed under the name uncultured bacterium. RNAcentral's name for it is "partial 16S ribosomal RNA". It matches the Rfam family "Bacterial small subunit ribosomal RNA", at positions 338 to 795 of the family's 1533-position model. The record is from RNAcentral.
CCUACGGGAGGCAGCAGUAGGGAAUCUUCCACAAUGGGCGAAAGCCUGAUGGAGCAACGCCGCGUGGGUGAAGAAGGUCUUCGGAUCGUAAAACCCUGUUGUUAGAGAAGAAAGUGCGUGAGAGUAACUGUUCACGUUUCGACGGUAUCUAACCAGAAAGCCACGGCUAACUACGUGCCAGCAGCCGCGGUAAUACGUAGGUGGCAAGCGUUAUCCGGAUUUAUUGGGCGUAAAGGGAACGCAGGCGGGCUUGUAAGUCUGAUGUGAAAGCCUUGGGCUUAACCGGAGUAGUGCAUUGGAAACUGGGAGACUGGAGUGCAGGAGAGGAGAGUGGAACUCCAGGUGUAGCGGUGAAAUGCGUAGAUAUAUGGAAGAACACCAGUGGCGAAAGCGGCUCUCUGGUCUGUAACUGACGCUGAGGUUCGAAAGCGUGGGUAGCAAACAGGAUUAGAUACCCGGGUAGUC